AUGAUAAAUCAUUCCCAUAGUCAUACAAUAAAAGUAAAUAACAUUUCUACUGUUCCAAACACACAUAAAACGUCAAAAAAAUGCAGUCUCUUUAAUUAAUUAUUGGCAAAUAGCUAGAAAUCUUUCAAAAUGCGGUCCAUUCAUUUCGCGGUUGCGGUUGCGGUCUCUUCGUUUUGUUGAAGCUCGCCAGCAUCUCUACAAUGGUGCAAUCCACUUUACAAUGCACUGUGCAGUGCCCAUUGCACUUUCUUUUCCACUGCCCUGGCAUUAUCAGCAGAAUCCGCAUAUGUUUGACAAUAUUUUUCCGCGUAUGUUGCAAAUGAUAUAAAUUCUUCAAGCGUCACAUCCUUCUUGCCCUUGUUUCUUCUUCUGGCAGCAGCAGUGGCGGGAGUAGCAGCACCACACCGAUGACAACGCCCAGCCUUCCACCUCACAGCAGCAAACAGAUGCACUCAAUGCAUCUGAGCCAAUGUCACUGACAGAUGCACUCAAUGCAUUAGGUGACAUCGAUUUCACCUGCAAGUUCAAAAUACAGAAAUUUAAUUUAAGCACAAGUGAGGGAAGGAAAAGACCAAUUUAGAUGGUAAGUACUGAAACAUCAAUACAGCACUCAAAAAGAGAAAUAUGUAAUAAGAACCACUUUACUAACCGCCUUAAUCAAGCGUUCAAGAGGCUGCUCGGUAACACUCGAUUUGCCAGAAAUAGUUGACAAAGCAUUAACAUGACUAGCAUCUGGUACAAUAAAUUCAGCAAGCAAAGGAGAUGCCAACAUCCCACUAGUGCCAAUUGCAAGGGACUGGACUGGUGCUCCCACCCCAGCUGCUUGUUGAUGUCCGAUAUUCCCAGCAUUUGGUAGUGAGGAAGGUUUCUCAGAAUCCCCUGGCAUGGGGGAUGGAACCAUGGGAGUUGAAGGAGAUGGGAUGACAACAGGUGAACCGGCAGUUUGCAAUGGUGUUCCAGCUUUCAGGUGAGUCAGUAGAUUCUUGUGGUCAACUUGGGGAGAAGAAUGUUGCGAAAUUUGACGAGAUGCAGCCUGAAUGAGUUGGUUUGAUGAUGGAAUAGGAAAUGGAGAUCCUAAUUUCAACUGCUGAUGUGGAUAAGCACGCUGGCCUGCGGAUAUAUGUUGCUGAAAAACCCCUGGCUUAACACCCAUCCCCUGUCUCAUCUUCAAGUCAUUUGCAUCAUUCAUUUGAUGAAGCAGUGGCAUUUGGUGUUGGUUCGCCUCCAUCUGCGCCGGAAGCUGCUGCUUUGCUUGCUGCAACUGUUGCUGCUGCUGUUGCUGUUGCAGUAUCUGCUGCUUCUGUAUCAAUUGCUGCUGCAUUCGCUGUUGAUACUGUUGCUUCAGUUGAUUCUGAAACAUUUGCUGUUCCUGCUGUUUUAAUUGCUGGUGUUGAAGCAUACCAGAAUUUGACUGAAGGGAGAUAAUAUUUGGCUGAAGCAUACUAACCCCACUCUGCGAUGACAGACCAUUCAUGUUAGCUUGCUGGGGAGCACUGACAGGAGUUUGUUGGAUAGAUCCCACCGGAACUUGCUGCAAAGAGUUCGGUGCAUUUCCCUGUCCUGAAUCCAAAUUUGUACUUGGCUGCAAUGAAUUCAUCAUGUUGCUGUGCUGUUGAAACCCCAGAAAUCGAAGACAUUGAAUUUUGCUCCGAGCUUGUCAUAUAGUUCUGCUGCAUUGUUGGCACAGAACCUUGUAAAUUCAUUGUUUGCAACUGCGGGUUCAUUUGAUUUUCAUGAGACUGCACUUGACGAAUUUGAGACUGCGGCUGCUGCAUGGAGUGCAUAUGAGGUGGGGGGAACUGCCCUUGUUGCAGAGGAUCUUGCUUCCGUGGUCUAUUUGUAUUAAUAAAAUUUACUAUCUGCUUCUCAUAUAAACCCAAAUUAUCUUUCAAACCAGGUGAAACAUUACUCUUGGAAAUCUGUAAGACUGAUAUGAGGCGCUCUAACAUGGUUUUGAACAUUUUUAGCUUCUCAAGCUGCUCUGACUUUGGUUGUUGUGGAAGAGAAUCGUGCUGGCAAACAGAAAGAACAGACGUCAGUAAGCAAAAGAAUGGCAAUAUAAGGAGUAACAACUUUGUUGCGAAAUCUUAUUAGCAUUAUUGGUGAGGUAACAAUCCCAUGUAGACGGUCUACAUGGGUACAAUAAUUAAAAGGGAGAUCAAGGUAGAAUCUAUCAAAGAGUAGCACCACAAUAACCUAGCAGGGAAAGCCCCGCUUAUUGCUAAAAGUUCAAGCAACAAAUUAUGAGAGAAGAAAAAAUUGAAUUGAUUACAUACCUGCUGAAGUUUAGUAGCAAUUUUCUGAUACAUUUCACUUAGUUCGGGUAAGUACCUUUCCUUCAUGACUUUGAUCUGCAAAUGAAAGUUACAAUACAAAGAUGAUUAGAAAGAACUUUGCUGCAGCUACAUGCUUGCCGACACCAUCAUAACAUCAAUGCCAAUGGAAAAGAGCCCGUGCAUGCAACCAUGAAUUCAUGUAUGCUUGUAUCUAAUGAAGCAAGUUUUAAUUAACUCCCAACCGAUGGUAGCUUAACAAAGCUGUCCCACAGGGAAUCUUAACUAGCAUGUAAUUCUUCAAAAUCCCCAUUCAAGGCAAUUUUGGCAUUAGUAUAAUUCUUUUCCAGUAGCUCUAUUCCCACCCCCAAGCCAAAUAAUUUGUAUUUUUAUAUUUAGAUGUUGUAUGUGAAAGCCAUCAAAUGGACAAGAAGGCAGGACAUCUUACUUUUUGAUAGACCUCCUCUUGCCAAUCACCCCCAUUUGCAUGUCCAGCCUGAGCUGAGGAAUCCAGAGAAGCUGCAAAAUAUAGAGAGAUAUAUGUCAAUGUUUGCACAUAAAAUGAAAUUUGAACACGAGGGUUUAAAAUGAGAAAGAAAAAAAAAAAAAAAAGCAUUGCAAGCAGAACAUUACAACAACAACAACAACAAAGCCUUUUCCCACUAAGUGGGGUCGGCUAUAUGAAUCCUAGAACGGCAUUGCGCGCGGUUUUGUGUCAUAUCCUCCGUUAGAUCCAAGUACUCUAAGUCUUUUCUUAGGGUCUCUUCCAAAGUUUUCCUAGGUCUACCUCUACCCCUUCAGUCCUGAACCUCUAUCCCGUAGUCACAUCUUCGAACCGGAGCGUCAGUAGGCCUUCUUUGUACAUGUUCAAACCCAUUUUGUGUACGUGUUGAUGCUUCACCUCCCAACGUUUUGUGCCAUACAGCAUCGCCGGCCUUAUUGCCGUCCUAUAAAAUUUUCCCUUGAGCUUUAGUGGCCUACGACAGUCACACAACACGCCGGAAGCACUCUUCCACUUCAUCCAUCCAGCUUGUAUUCUAUGGUUGAGAUCUCCAUCUAAUUCUCCGUUCUUUUGCAAGAUAGAUCCUAGGUAGCGAAAACGGUCGCUCUUUGGUAUUUCCUGAUUUCCGAGCCUCACCCCUAACUCAUUUUGGCCUCCAUUUGCAAUGAACUUGAACUCCAUAUAUUCUGUCUUUGAUCGGCUUAGGCGAAGACCUUUAGAUUCCAACACUUCUCUCCAAAAGUUAAGCUUCGCAUUUACCCCUCCUGAGUUUCAUCUAUCAACACUAUAUCGUGUGCGAAAAGCAUACACCAAGGAAUAUCAUCUUGAAUAUGUCCUGUUAACUCAUCCAUUACCAACGCAAAAAGGUAAGGACUUAAGGAUUGUUGAUGCACAAAAUUAGUGAGGACUUUGGUACAACAGAAAGUAUUAAGUUUGUGAUCUUCGCUAGAUUGCUCUGGUCAUUAGUGUGGAUAAGUAUGUAAAUGGAUAGAGACAGGAAAGCAAACACAAGAUGUACGUGGUUCACCCAGAUUGGCUACGUCCACGGAGUAGAGGAGUUCUCAUUAAUUGUGAAAGGUUUACGUAAGUACAUAGGUUCAAGAUCUCCUUUAGUGAGUACAAGUGAAUGAUUUAGUACAAAUGACAUAGGUGCAAGCUCUCGUCUUCACUUGCCUUAACUGUCUCAUAGGUAGAUGUGGCAUCUUCUCUGUAAGUACGCUUCUUCCAUCCAGGGGUGGUAUCUUUAACUGGUGGAGAUACAUAAGGUAAUGUAUCAAUUUCACUUGAAGCUUAUUUGUAGUUUCAGGCUUGGUCAAGCGCGAUACAAACCAUGUAGUAGGAGUCCCCCAAGUCGUUGAGCUAGGGGAUCUGCUGAAAGAGGUGACAGACAAGGUAAGCAAUCAGAGCUCCAAGCAAUCAGUCCCAGAUCAGAAGUUUGAUUUCGAGUUCUGGCUGAUUGUUCUCAUUCUCCCUAUCUUGCAGGCAGCAUGAAGGAUAAAAAGAAGAAAAGGAGAAUAGACGAUAUGAGAUACUUUUGCUUUUGAAGAAGUAACUUUCCACAGACUUAUUCUUGAACUGGGCUGGAGGAUUUUCUAGUUUCCUCCAUAGUAUAAGGCCGACUGAAGAAUUUGAGGGUCAAAACACGUCCAUCAAAUCUAGAGUACAUUCGACCCUGCUGAUAUGGGAUACUUUUGUUGUUGACAAAGUAGUGGAUGUAUCGGCACGUGUUCUGUUACGCUUGUCUCCACAUGCUUCCUUGUAUCCUUCUCACUUUCCCUAUCUGUUCCUCAGGCAGAUGUGGUAUCUUCUCUGGAAGCAUAAGAUGUUGAAGAUGGGUACUCGAGAGCAAUGUCAGGUAAGUAAUCAGGUAAGGGGUUCCAGGCAGUCAGUUCCUGACUAGAAGCUUGAUUCCAAGUGCUGACUGAUUGCUCUCUCCUUGUCUUGCAGGUAAGAACAAGGCCAAAGGAAAAGACAGGGAAAAAGCAUGAUAUGGGAUACUCUUGCUUUUAACCCUGAUGAUAUGAGAUAUUCUUGCUCUGGUGUAGCUUGUUUGCAGAGGUAUUAUUGGGGGGAAAGAAAGCUGAGUAUUUCGAGAGGCUUCGUUGGGAGUGCCCUCUCAAAUAUGAAGAAGGGUUGAGCAUUUUUGCAGGUCUGCCUGUCCGUUGAGGAUGGAGGUCGACAUAUAUAGGAGUUCCCCUAACAAUAAGUAGUAAUGUUAUUCCUUUACCCUGCUUGGUCAUAGCACGGUAGUGGGAGCUGCCAGCUUCACGUGUGUCAGAGCACUUUGAAAAAAUGGUCUGUGGUAUCCGGAAAGCUAAUGUUGAGUGUGAAGAUUACAGACAAGCUUUAUCCAAGGAGAUCUGGCUCUCAAAGUUGAGAAAGCGGUGCCUCUUCGGUUUUCGUACAAGCAAUCCUGUCGAGGAUCUGGCUCUCGAGAUUCGAAAAACGGUGCCUCUUCGAUUUUUGAGAGAGCAAUCCUGCAGGGAGUCUAGCUCUCGAGAUUCGGAGAGCGGUGUCUCUUCGAUUUUUGAGAAAGUAAUCAUGUUGGGAGUCUGGCUCUCGAGAUUCAGAGGACGGUGCCUCUUCGAUUUUGGAGCAAGCAAUCUUGUUGGGAGUGUUUUCUCGAAUGUAAGUAAAGGUUGGGCAUGUUUGCUAGUCUACCUUGCCACAGAGCACAGAGGUUGACACACAAGGACUUUCCAAUUAUCCAGCAGCGGUGCUGUUCCUUUACCCUUGUAGGUAAUAAUAUGGUAACUAGACCUUCAAAAUUUAUGUGUCUAAACUUUGUUAGUGCUGUUUCUUUGCUAUUCUUUUACUCUUCUUGGUCAUAGCGAUGUAGUGGGAGCUGCAAGCUUCACGUGUCUAAACUUUGUCAGAGAUCUUUGGCAAAGUUAUCUGUGGUACCCAUGAGCUGAUGGUGCGUGUGGAAAGUGGAUAAUUGAACAGUAAGAUUCACGUGCUUUCUACUUCACCAGAAAUCUUCAACAGAAUGCCCGUAAUUUCAGCAAAGCUGAGUGUGCAUGUGACAGGUGCUGACAAGGCUGAAAAAAGCAGGUGCCUCUUCGAUUUCUGAGAUCGGCCCUCGUGGUCUCUGAGCAGCCCAGCUUUUGAGAAAGCAAACGCCUCUUCGAUUUCUGAGAUCGGCCCUCGUGGUCUUUGAGCAGCCCAGCUUUUGAGAAAGCAAACGCCUCUUCGAUUUCUGGGCAGGCGCCUCUUCGAUUUCUGAAGCUCCGUCGAGUGCAGAUUUUUAUAGAGGCUAGCAUUAAGUUCCAAAGCACACUUGAAUCUUUACCAGUAGAAGCUCCCUUCUUGCACUUAUAAGAUCUUGAUUUGUCCGACCUCUUCUCUCUUCAACACCUUUGAAAAUGUCUGGCCCCUCCGACCGUCGUUUUGACUUGAACCUCGUUGAAGAGGCAGCCACGCCUUCUUCAGACAACAUAUGGCGCCCAUCCUUCUUAUCCCCUACUGGUCCGCUUACCGUUGGGGAUUCCGUGAUGAAGAAUGAUAUGACUGCUGCGGUGGUGGCCAGGAACCUUCUCACUCCCAAAGAUAAUAGACUACUUUCCAAAUGGUCUGAUGAGUUGGCUGUUAAGGAUUCUCUGGUUCUAAGUGUUCAGUGUGCAUGUUCUGUGUCUAAUAUGGCCCAACGCCUAUUUGCUCGAACCCGCCAAGUUGAAUCAUUGGCAGCUGAAAUGAUGAGUCUCAAAUAGGAGAUUAGAGGGCUCAAGCAUAAGAAUAAACAGUUGCACCAGCUCGCACAUGACUAUGCUACAAACAUGAAGAGGAAGCUUGACCAGAUGAAGGAAUCUGAUGGUCAGGUUUUACUUGAUCAUCAGCGGUUUGUGGGUUUGUUCCAAAGGCAUUUAUUGCCUUCGUCUUCUGGGGCUGUACCGCGUAAUGAAGCUCCAAAUGAUCAACCUUCGAUGCCUCCUCCUUCUAGGGUUCUGUCCAGUACUGAGGCUCUGAGUGAUCCCCCUCCGGUGCCUUCUCUUUCUGGGGCUCGACCGACUGCUGAGACUUCUCCUAAGCAACCUUUGUGAAGGCUCCCUCUUGUUUGUUUAUUUUGACUCAUGUAUAUGUACAUAUUUGUAACUUAUCGGAGAUAUCAAUAAAUAAGCUUUGCUUCAUUUCAAUGUAUUGUGUUAAAUACACCAAAGGUAUGAAAGGCACUUCAGGUGCAAUUUUGCUCCUACUUUCAACUUAUGAGGGCAAUUACUUUUUUAUGGGAAGACUUCAAAGGUUUCUUUUUCUUUGUUUAAAAGUAAUUGUGGAGUUAUCAAGAGGAAAUGGGUUAACAUUAUGUCAGAAUAGCGUCUCUAUCACCAUAUCUCAUGGAAAGACAAGAUACAAAAACUAAAAUCAAAGGCAACAGAAGCUUCAGCUUUCACCAGAAAAUCACUCGUAAAGAACUCAGAUUGUAAACAUUAAGCAAGAGAGGUGAAAGGUAAACUUAUGGUAAUUAAGGUGGUCCGUAUACCAAAUUUGAGGUGUAGGCGCAAAACUCGUAACUAGGCUAUUUAUAUAUAUAUUCUAUUCUCUUAGUCGGGUUUAAUAACUAUUUUCUUAUCCUUGUGGAUUAUUAUUUGCUAUAAUUAAUUCAUUUCCUUUUGGGAUUUUACUUUUAGAUUAUAUAACCACAUCAAUCUCUAUUACUCAACCCUAGUUCAGCCUAUAUGGAUAUUCAGAAUGCAAGACUAACUUUGAAUUUAUUUUUUCUUUCAGUUUGGGAUUUAGCUUUUUAUCUUCCCUCCCCUGUGCUGCAACAUACAAGACUAACUCUGUUCCUUUUAUAUAAAUCCAAUUACCAAAUAUAAAUCACAAAAUUUUAUGUACACUACCACUACACAUAUCAACCUCUAAAAAGAAAAGCAAGAAAUCAAGAAAGACCAAGGCUUGCUUUAGCCCUAUAGUUUAAUGUGACCAGAUAUUUGCAUAGGACUCUGGUUCUCCAUUCCAUGAUGGUUAGAUGCUGAAGUACUGGAAAGAACAGAAGUCGUCAUGUUUGAAAGAGAGGCAUGAUGCAUCUAUUUAAAAGUGUUGGUGACAACGAACAUGUGGUGGGAAGAUGGGACACACCUACUUGGCAAGAUAGCCAGGCAUAAAAAUUUCUAUUGACUAAGUCCAAUGCACAUCCAUGUUACAUUUUAAUACAAGAAGUCAUAUAUGGCAAAGAUAAAAUUCCAAAAUUAGACUACUUCCAUAGAGAGUCUAGACACCUACAUCUGGCAACCACAACAAAAUAAUAUAUUUACCAAGGUCAUCCAAAAAAAAAGUGUGCCCCAUAAAAACAUAUAAUAAAGACCAUUUUCAUAACAAAAUCAAAUUAAUGACAUAAAAAUGACAGUAUUACCUAUAAUACAAUAUGAUAAACAGACCGAAAUCACAUAAUACAAAAGUAAAAUAAGAAUAAAAUAAGAUUCCGUCCAAAAUGUGCACCUAUGAUAAUCUAGAUAUCAUGAAAGCACAUGCAUAAAAUCAGGAAAGUGCAUAAGUGCAAAAAUCGUACUCGAUGAUGUCUCAGCAAGGGGUCUCUGAGAUUGAUAUAACUGCUUUUGCUGAUCCAUUACAUUUUGAGCUUGAAGCAUGGUUCCUGAUAUCUGACCUGAUGCUUGAAGCCUUUGCUGCAUAUCUCGUUGCAGUGGAUUUGACUGCUGUUGCAAACCCAUUUGUUGCAUCUGUGGCUGUGAUUGAAUCUGUGACAUCAUUUGUUGCUGUGAUGCUUGCGGUUGUGACUGCUGUCCUUGAGUCGGUAACAUGUUAGAUGCAUUCGGAUGUUGUUGCUGCUGCACCUGAACCUUGGAUUGUUGCAACAAGUGUACAGAGUGCUGAUUUGGUUGCAUACUAGAAUUACCACUUUGAGUUCCAAGGUGCUGCUGUUGCUGUAAUCCGGUAACAUUACUCUGAGAGCCCAACUGUUGCUGAUGCAUAUUUGAAAGGUUGCUUUGCUGCUGUUGCUGUAACCCAGUAACAUUACUCUGCGGGCCCAAUUGUUGCUGAUGGAUAUUAGAAAGGUUGCUUUGCUGAGCCAUUAACUGCUGCUGCUGCUGCUGUUGUUGCUGUUGCUGCUGCUGCUGCUGCUGCUGUUGCUGUUGCUGUUGUUGCAGGUUUAAAAGAUUAUUCUGCUGGUUUAGUAACCUCUGUUGUUGCUGCUGCUGCAUAUCCCCGACAUUAGUUUGUUGUCCAAUCAUCUGAUUCUGGGACAAGUUUGAAGCAGUUGGCUGCUGCUGCUGCGGGGUUAAUAUUGGCUGUUGUGCCAUUGGUGUUUGCUGUUGAUGAACAGCUACCUGUUGAGGCUGCUGUUGCUGCCUGAGAACUGGCUGUGAAUGCUGCGGAAGCAUGGGUUGUGAUGACUGUUGCAUAGCAGAUUGUUGAUUCUGCUGGACAGAUGAUUGCACUGAAGGCUGCAUAACAGACGAUGUUGGCAUAACAGAUUGCUGGGAAGAUUGCAACUGAGUCGGUUGUAAAAGGUUCUGCUGCUGUUGCUGUUGCUGUUGCACAAGUUGUGGCAUAUUUCCCUGCUCAUAUUUUGGCUUCAAAAGCGAAUGUUGCAUCUGUUGAUGGUACAUAUACUGCUGGGAAUUCUGGGAAUUCUGGGAUUGCUGCGGCUGCUGCUGUUGGGGAGCUACCUGUUGCCUUCCUGGCAUUUGCCUUUGAGAAUUAGCAAAGACAUUGGAGGGUACCCCCUGGCCCAUGGAAUUCCCUAAUGAAUUCUGUGAACUUCCAGACAUAUUUUGCAUGUUUGGGUUUUGUCCACCUAUACUUGGGAUAGGAGUCUGGGUUAAACCGGAAGAAGGAGGUAGUGCAGAUGAUAAGCCAGACGAACUUUGAACUCCAGCAGGUGGAAUGUUAUUCUGAAUGCUCUGUGAUAAAAGUGGUUGGCGUCCUUGAGAUUGAUUAGCUGGUAACGGCAUAGAGAGUGAUUGCCCAUGAUUGGGGACUUGGGGUUGCAUACCUUGAUUGGGAACUUGGGGUUGCAUACCAAAAGACCCUAUUCAAGUAAAAUAGCAAGAAUAAACACCACAUAGCAAGCGUCAAAACAAGAAUACAAUAAAUGUCAUCCGGCGUGUUGUGUGACCGUCGUAGGCCACUGAAGCUCAAGGGAAAAUUUUAUAGGACGACAAUAAGGCCAGCGAUGUUGUAUGGCACAGAAUGUUUGGUGGUGAAGCAUCAACCCGUACACAAAAUGGGUGUAGCGGAGAUGAGGAUGCUUCGUGGGAUGUAUGGGCACACGAGAAAUGAUAAGAUUGGGAAUGAGGAUAUCCGAGGUAAAGUAGGAGUAGCCAAAAUUGAAGGAAAUAUGAGAGAAAAUCGGUUCCGGUGGUUUGGACAUGUGCAAAGAAGGCCUACUGACGCUCCGGUUCGAAAAUGUGACUACGGGACAGAGGUUCAGGACCGAAGGGGUAGAGGAAGACCUAGGAAAACUUUGAAAGAGACCCUAAGAAAAGACUUGAGUACUUGGAUCUAACGGAGGACAUGACACAAAACCGAGCGCAAUGGCGUUCUAGGAUUCAUAUAGCCGACCCCACUUAGUGGGAAAAGGCUUUGUUGUUGUUGUUGUUGUUGUAUUUGACCCAUUAAAUACAAGUGAAUAAAGAUAUCAAGAACGAAUCAUCUCAGUUAAGAAAUGCAGGAAUAAUUAAGAAAAAGAAAGUACGUUUCAUUAGUUGUUUUUACCCGGAUCAGGGGGCCUGUUGCUGUUACCCGCAGAGUUAGAUUGUAAAGGAUUGCCCAUUGAAUUCUGAGACUUGGUCUCCAUUGUGAGCAUCUUCAGAGAAAUUUUCCGUAGAUAAUCCGACUACAAAAUUAAAAAAUCCAUGCUAAAUUUAGAAUACAGUUCUAUCCAAAAUAUGAAGAAAGUUCAAGCAUAGACAACAUAUUUUUAAGAAGUCAUAUAUGUAAUAGAUAGGUAAGUAUUUAAGUACGCAAACAUUACAUGCACCAUAAGAAAUAAGAACUCUGGUAUUAUGGAAGCACCUGGCUUGUGGCUGCAGUAUAAAUCUUUUCCUCAAACCUUACAGCAAUUUUACUGAGUUCCUGUAAUCCAUCUUGUCCGGAGAAGGGAAGAUGCCUCUUCAACGUAUCCAUUCUAUACAUGCAAUAAAACCAACAUCAGUUACAGACUACCAAAAUGGGGGUAGCGUUCAUAAUAGCAAAGCUGGAUUAGACUACCGCUUGAAACAAAAAAAGUUCAACAAAGAAAAACACUUACAUCUUGUUGACAAUUCUUUGCCUCGAAUCAGCCUGCAGCUGACUCCUCCAAUCGCCGGCAUCCAUGGCAGCCUCUCCAACUUGAGAAGGCCUCCACUUAUUGGUAUCCAUCAAAUCCAAUCAACCCAACAAAACUGCCAAAAACAAAAGUACAGGACUGAGCAACUUCAACGAAAACCUACGAAAAGGGCACAAAAAAUUCGUACAAGAGCUAGCUAUUCGGACGACGAUACAGUUUAUAAUUACGCAGGCAUUUUUUUUGCAUCAGAAAUUGCAUUCAUUCAAGCUGAUUCUAAACACGAUUUAGGCGCCAUGAAAAAUCAAAACUUGCAAUUCAAUUCACAUACAACCGAAAACCAGAUACAAUUUACACAAUCAGAUCACAAAAACACCAACAAUAACGAAUUUUCCACAAAACCCACGAUCGAUCAACAUCUAAAACAAAAAACCCAACAAAAAUUGACCAAAAAGUUACCUCUUUUCUUUCAGAACAGGAGAGUUGAAGAUUGAAAGGUUCAGGUUGCCUGGAGUCAAACAAUGGAGAAAUUGCAGAACAGGGAAAUCGGGGGAUUGGGAAAGGAAGGAGGGUUCUUGCUCAAAAGCUUCAAACUUUGACAAGAUUUAAUGGAUUGAUGUGUUAGUAGGAAGGGAGAGCAACGAAAUAUCCUGUUUUAACCAAUGUCUGAUUUUUUUUUAGGUUUUUUUUUUAAAUUUGAAUUUUUCAGGGACAAAAAGACAAUAAAACCAUUGGCCUUAGGAAUUUAUAAGUUGCCACUUACCACUUUAUCCUAAUCCUAGGCUUUCUUGUCAAAUACCAAUUGGAUAGGAAUAUUUCCAACUGAGUCAAAAGAACAAAGUAGUCUUAUUUAUAACUAGCUUCUUGGUACGCGCUCAAAUGCGCGAAUUAACUUUUAAACGUCAAUUAAUGUAUUAGCAUUUCAUUAGUUUUACGUCUUAUAUCAUCACUUUGAAACUUAUUUAUUUGUACUAAAUAAGAAACUACUAUAUAUAGUUGGUGUAAUAAGUUUGUGUCUUUAGCAUUAUUGAUGUAAAUAGACUGAUUUUCUUAUAUUCUUUUAUUUUAAAUUUAUUAGUUAUAUAACUUUACACUUUAUUGCUUUUCAAUGAAGACAGAACAAGGAGGAGAUCAAUUAUUCCUCAAUUAAUCUACUUCAUUAUUCCUCAAUCUGCUUCUUGACCAUUUUGGUAUUAGAUUCCAUAUAGUAAAGCGUCAUGUAACUUUCAUUUUCAUGUGUUAAUAAAUGUAAGAAUCUAAAUGAUUUUGCAUGUGAUUGGCAUGAAAUCCAAAUGUCCUCUUUAGUUCAAUAUAACAACCUCUUGUCCCGCGAGAUUUUGAAACCAUUACCUCCUCUGACGACAGGGCCGGUCUAGAGAUUUUUGAGGCCCGGGACGACGUAAAAAAAAGUGCCCUAACUUCAUGUAAGAAAAUUAUUUAUCUUCACACAUAAGACAUCGAAAAAAUUAUACUUAGAAAAACACUUCAAACUUAAUAAUUUAGAAACACAUAAAAACUAAUUUAUUUUGUAUUGAGAGAGGGAAACAAAAAAACUUCGGGCUUACAAGAAGAUAGAUGAUGAGUUUUGUUUUCCAUUUGAACUUUGAAUGUGUUUUUGAAUAAAUCGUGAUGUGUUUUUUUUCUUAUUUACUAACCUUGUCAAUAUGGGACUAAAAAAUAAUGAUGUUUUCGAGUUUUACUAAAUUAAACAUUUUGAUGACACGUCAUAUAAUUUGCAAAUUUGGUAUACGUAAUAUUCUUUGUUGAAGAUUAGACUUGAAUUAAAACGAAUAUUUAAAAAUAACAACCCACAUAGCUACUAGAUAGUAACUAAAUAUAAAUUACCAACCAAACAAAAAUUUGUAAAAAUUGAAAAGAAUAAACAUGCACAUAGCAUUUCGAACUUAGGACCUCUUGUUAAUUUUAACAACAAAAAUCAUUGUUUCUAAUUAAACUUCUUUAUCCUUUAACCAAAUUUUCUAAAUUUAUACUCUUAUAAAACGAAAUUUGUAAAAAAAAGGAAAGUAAAUAAGCACACAUGAUGUUUUGAACACAAGACCUCCUUAUUAUUUUUAAAUGACAAACCACCACUUCUAGUUAAAUUUCUGUGUCUUUGAAUCAAAUUUUAUAAAUUUAUACUCUUAUAAAAACAUAUAUAAAUAUAUCGCCCUAAUAAUUUUGGUGCCCCUAAUUUUUUUGGGCCCUGGACGGUCGCCCCUUCUGCACUGGGCCUGGGCCGGCCCUGUCUGACGAAAUGGAGAUCAAAAACCCAUUAGUACAAAGGUAGAAUACAACCAAACUCUAGGUAUAGCAAUUUUUGUUCUCUCUAACAAAAGCCAACAAAUGCAGAUGACGCUUUACCAUAGUGACGAAAAACAAUUAUGUCUACGCACCCCAACCAACCUCCUCACCCCUAACAAAGGCCAAUACAUUGAUAUCGUCUACCCUUCUAAAGUCAUCACAUUUUUAUUCAGAGAAUGGAGGAGAGAAGCUGAAGUAGCGUAUGAGGCCACGAGAACAUGGAAAUUCAGACCAAAGGAGCAUAAAAACCAUAUGGAAAAGAUGAUGAUGCAUGUGGAACAAUUGACAAACUUGAUAGAAAAGAUGUGAUGGGCAAACACGACGCCUUUUCAGGUUGGAGGGGGCCUUUGUGGUCUGAGAGAGAGAGAGGGAGAGAGAGAGAGAGAGAGCUCCUCUAAUUCAAUCAUAUAAAAGUAAAACUGAUGAUAAAUCAUUCCAAACACACAAAUAACGUUAUAAAAAUGCAGUCUCUUUAAUUAAUUAUUGACAAAUAGCUUGAAAUCUUUCAAAAUGCGGUCCAUUCAUUUUGCGGUUGCGGUUGUGAUUUCUUCGUUUUGUUGAAGCUCGCCCAGCCUCUCAACAACGGUGCAAUCCACUUUACAUAUGAGGAGGUGGGGGGAGCUGCCCUUGUUGCAGAGGAGGACCUUGCUUCCUCGGUCUAUUUGUAUUAAUAAAAUUUACUAUCUGCUUCUCAUACAUACCCAACUUCUCUUUCAAACCAGAUGUAAUGCUACUCUUGGGAAUCUGUAAGACUGAUAUGAGGCGCUCCAACAUGGUUUUGAACAUUUUUAGCUUCUCAAGCUGCUCUGACUUUGGUUGUUGUGGAAGAGAAUCGUGCUGGCAAACAGAAAGAACAGACGUCAGUAAGCAAAAGAAUGGCAAUAUAAGGAGUAACAACUUUGUCGCGAAAUCUUAUUAGCAUUAUUGGUGAGGUAACAAUCCCAAUUAGACAGUCUACAUGGGUACAAUAAUUAAAAGGGAGAUCAAGGUAGAAUCCAUCAAAGAGCAGCACCACAAUAACCUAGCAGGGAAAGCCCCGCUUAUUGCUAAAAGUUCAAGCAACAAAUUAUGAGAGAAGAAAAAAUUGAAUUGAUUACAUACCUGCUGAAGUUUAGUAGCAAUUUUCUGAUACAUUUCACUUAGUUCGGGUACGUACCUUUCCUUCAUGACUUUGAUCUGCAAAUGAAAGUUAUAAAUACAAAGAUGAUUAGAAAGAACUUUGCUGCAGCUACAUGCUUGCCGAUACUCAUGAAUUCAGACAGCAUGAAUUCAUGUAUGCUUGUAUCUAAUGAAGCAAGUUUUAAUUAACUCCCAACCGAUGGUAGCUUAACAAAGCUGCCCCACAAGGAAUCUUAACUAGCAUGUAAUUUCUUCAAAAUCCCCAUUCAAGGCAAUUUUGGCAUUAGUAUAAUUAUUUUCCAGUAGCUCUAUUCCCACCCCCACGCCAAAUAAUUUGUGUUUUUAUAUUUAGAUGUUGUAUGUGAAAGCCAUCAAAUGGACAAGAAGUCAGGACAUCUUACUUUUUGAUAGACCUCCUCUUGCCAAUCACCCCCAUUUGCAUAUCCAGUCUGAGCUGAGGAAUCUAGAGAAGCUACAAAAUAUAGAGAGAUAUAUAUGUCAAUGUUUGCACAUAAAAUGAAAUUUGAACACGAGGGUUAAAAAUGAGAAAGAAAAAAAAAAGCAUUGCAUGGAAAACAUUGAUAUGGAAAAUUAUCCUUCCCAAACAGUUGAGGUGCAAUUUUGCUCCUACUUUCUGCUUAUGACAGCAAUUACAUUUUUAUGGGAAGACUUCAGGUGCAAUUUUGCCCUUGAUUGGGGACUUGGGGUUGCAUACCGAAAGACCCUACUCAAGUAAAUAGCGAGAAUAAACACCAUAUCAAGAAUAAACACCAUAUAAACAAGCAUCAAAACAAGAAAACAAUAAAUGUCAUUUGUACUCAUCAUUUGAUCCAUUAAAUACAAGCGAAUAAAGAUAUCAAGAACGAAUCAUCUCAGUUAAGAAAUGCGGGAGUAAUUAAGAAAAAGAACGAACAUUUCUCGCAACAGAUCAACCAUCAAGAAGAAAGGUAGCCAAGAGAGAAAAGGGCAGUUUUCAAUAGUUGUUUUUACUGUUACCAGCAGAGUUAGAUUGUAAAGGAUUGCCCAUUGAAUUCUGAGACUUGGUCUCCAGUGUGAGCAUCUUCAGAGAAAUUUUCCGUAGAUAAUCCGACUACAAAAUAAAAAAAUCCAUGCUAAAUUUAGAAUACAGUUCUAUCCAAAAUAUGAAGAAAGUUCAAACAUAUACAACAUUUUUUUAAGAAGUCAUAUAUGUAAUAGAUAGGUAAGUAUUUAAGUACACAAACAUUUCAUGCACCAUAAGAAAUAAGAACUCUGGUAUUAUGGAAGCACCUGGCUUGUGGCUGCAGUAUAAAUCUUUUCCUCAAACCUUACAGCAAUUUUACUGAGUUCCUGCAAUCCAUCUUGUCCGGAGAAGGGAAAAUGCCUCUUCAACGUAUCCAUUCUAUACAUGCAAUAAAAUCAACACCAGUUACUGACUACCAAUAUGUUUUAAGUUUGAAGUCCUCCCGCCAUAGUUUAGAUUAGAUUACGCUAAAUUAGACUACCGCUUGAAACAAAAAAAAGAAUCGACAAAGAAAAACACUUACAGAUUGUUGACAAUUCUUUGCCUUGAAUCAGCCUGCAGCUGACUCCUCCAAUCGCCGGCAUCCAUGGCGGCCUCUCCAACUUGAGAAGGCCUCCACUUAUUGGUAUCCAUCAAAUCCAAUCAACCCAACAAAACUGCCAAAAACAAAAGCACAGGACUGAGCAACUUCAACGAAAACCUACGAAAACGGCACAAAAAUUCGUACAAGAGCUAUUCGAACGACGAUACAGUUUAUAAUUACGCAGGCAGUUUUUUUGCUUCAGAAAUUGCAUUCAUUCAAGCUGAUUCUAAACACGGUUUAGGCGCCAUGAAAAAUCAAAACUUGCAAUUCACAUACAAUCGAAAACCAGAUACGAUUUACACAAUCAAAUCAAAAAAAAAAAAAACAAUAACGAAUUUCCCACAAAACCCACGAUCGAUCAACAUCUAAAACAAAAAACCCAACAAAAUUUGACCAAAAAGUUACCUCUUUUGUUUCAGAACAGGAGAAUUGAAGAUUGAAAGGUUCAGGUUGCCUGGAGUGAAACAACGGAGAAAUUGCAGAACUGGGAAAUCGGGGGAUUGGGAAAGGAAGGAGGGUUCUUGCUCAAAAGCUUCAAACUUUGACAAGAUUGAAUGGAUUGAGGGGAUGGUUUGGGAGUGACAUAAAAAAAAAAAGCACCAUGAAAAAAAGUGCGAGAGUUUUAGGUGUUUGGUAAACUGAAGAAAAAAAAGCUUAUUUUGGAAGCUGAUGUGAGAAUAAGCUGAAAUUAAAAGAAAAAGCUGAAGCUGCUAUUUGCAGCUUUGGAAAACUGGCAUUUUUUCAAAACACACAGAGCUAGAGUGCUCUUUUAAUGAAAAGACCCACUAUCAGAUUGUUUUUUUUUUUUUUCAAAAGCACUUUUACAAAAAAGUUUACCAAACACUCUACUGAUUUAUUUCACAGCUGCUUAUUCUCACAACAACUUUUUUUUCAAAGCACAGCAAUAUCAGACCAGCCCUGAUGCGUCUGAUGUGGUCUUUUUAGUUAAGUAGGAAGGGAGAGACAACAAAUAUCCCGUUUUAACCAAUGUCUGAUUUUUUAGGUUUUUUUUUAUAGAAAAACUAAUGAAAAGCGUCUGAAAUGUUUUAGUUUUAAUAAAAAAUCAUGUUAUAAGUUUUGUUUAAUGAUUAGUAUAAAACUCAUAUUAAAGUAGUCCAACUAAAAAUGGUCUAACUAUAAUAACUUAUUAUUUGUUGAUUUUACCUUUAACUUUUUUAGGUUGACUUUCAGAUUUUCGUCGUUAAUGAAGUUCAUCGUUGUUUUGCAGACUUUCUUCUUUUUCUUUGAAACAAAAAUAUAGAUCCUCAUGCAAGUUAAUUUAUAUUUUGUAUUAUUUUGUUGAAACGUGAUUGUUGUUAUUAUUCAUAAAGUAUUCGAAAUAUUGUUUUUCAAUUUUUCUUUGUUAGUGGAGUUCAUCGUUUGUUUUUACAAAAAAAAAUUUGAGAUCUGCAUGUUAUUCAAUAAUAACGAUGGUCAGUGUUUCUGGACUGUAAAAAUAAACUGUUUCUGGAUUUUAAGUAACACUGUUUCUGGAUCUAAAUGAAAUAGACACACUGUUUCUUAAAUGAAAGCUAGAAAAGAAAUAGUGAAAUUCAUUGUAUUUGAAUUCAAAGAAAAAUAAGCAUCAUGUUUUUUAAAUAUAAUCAACUGAUGCAUGCAAGAAAAGAAACAAUCAAAGGUUAAAACAUAGACUGUUUCUGGAAUUUAAAGCACUGUUUUUUGAAUUUAAGUCAUUGUUUAUGGAUUUUGGUUCUUUUAUUUUCAGAUAGAGUGUUUGUUUGUGCACAGAAAAAACAAAAAAUGUAUCUGAUUUUUUUUUUCCAAAAAUAGUGUUAUGUUUUGGGUUCUCCAGAAACAGUUUUAUGUUUUGGUUUUUUUUUUCCUAUUUACAAACGCCUGACAUGUAUGUACAUCACCGGGACCGUAGGUCCUUAUUGGAUCUGAUUGGAAUAAAAUACUAACACUAUAAAUUGUUCGUGGUGCAGAUAAGAGGAUGAGGAUGAGGACGAUGACGAGGACAAGGAGGAUAAGGGCACGAAAAAGGUAGACAAUAGUUUUGGAUGAUUUUUUAUUAAACUUUGAGCCCUUUUGGUUAAAUAAUAUUUUAGGAUGAUUUUUGGUUAAAUAUUUGUUGGCCCAAAUCAUUUUCAUUAAAGCUCCAUUUUUUUAUUUAUGUUUGAAAUUUGAAUUUUUUAGGGACAAAAUGACGAUAAAACCAUUGUCCUUAGGACUUUAUAAGUUGCCACUUACCACUUUAUCCUAAUCCUUCUAGGCUUUCUAGUCAAAUCCCAAUAGGAUAGGAAUAUUUCCGACUGUGUCAAAAGAACAAAGUAAUCUUCUUUAUAACUAGCAUCUCGGUAUGCGCUUAAAUGCGCGAAUUGACUUUUAAACACCAAUUAAUGUGUUGGCAUUUCAUUAGUUUUAUGUUUUAUAUCAUCACUUUGAAACUUAUUUAUUUGUACUAAAUAAGAAAUUGCUAUAUAUAGUUGGUGUAAUAAGUUUGUGUCUCUAACAUUAUUGAUGUAAAUAGACUGAUUUUCUUAUAUUUUUUUAAUUUUUUAUUUAUUAAUUAUAUAACUUUACACUUUAUUGCUAUUCAAAGAAGACAGAACAAGGAGGAGAUCAAUUAUUCCUCAAUUAAUCUACUUCUUGACCUUUUUGGUAUUAAGUUACAUAUAGUAAGCAUCACGUAACUUUUAUUUUCAUGUGUUAAUAAAUGUAAGAAUCCAAAUGAUUUCGUGGUUGGCAUGAAAUCUUCAAUAUAACCUCUUGUCCCAUGAGAUUUGAAACCAUUACAUCAUCCGACAAAAUGGAGAUCCAAAAACCAUUAGUACAAAGGUAGAAUACAACCAAACUCUAGGUAUAGCAAUAUUUUUUUCUCUCUAACAAAAGCCAAUACAUGCAGAUGACGCUUUAUCAUAGUGACGAAAAACAAUUAUAUCCAUGCACCCCAACCAACCUCCUCACCCCUAACAAAAGCCAAUACAUUGAUAUCCUCUACCCUUAUAAAGUCAUCACAUUUUUAUUCAGAGAAUGGAGGAGAGAAGCUGAAGUAGCAUAUGAGGCCAUGAGAACAUGUUCAACAUGGAAAUUCAGACCAACGAAGCAUAAAAACCAUAUGGCAAAGAUGAUGAUGCAUCUGGAACAAUUGACAAACUCGAUAAAAAAGAUGUGAUGUGCAAACACGACGCCCUUUCAGGUUGGAGGGGGCCUUUGUGGUCUGAGACUCGGUCUCCAUUGUGAAGUCACGGCCCAGGAUCAUGGAAGUACCUGGACUGUGGCUGCAGUAUACUAAUAAGAGAGAGAGAGAGAGAGAGAGAGAGAGCUCCUCUAAUUCAACCAUAUAAAAGUAAAACUGAUGAUAAAUCAUUCCCAUAGUCAUACAAUAAAAGUAAAUAACAUUUCUACUGUUCCAAACACACAUACAACGUCAAAAAAAUGCAGUCUCUUUAAUUAAUUAUUGGCAAAUAGCUAGAAAUCUUUCAAAAUGCGGUCCAUUCAUUUCGCGAUUGCGGUUGCGGUUUCUUCGUUUUGUUGAAGCUCGCCAGCAUCUCUACAAUGGUGCAAUCCACUUUACAAUGCACUGUGCAGUGCCCAUUGCACUUCCUUUUCCACUGCCCUGGCAUUAUCAGCAGAAUCCGCAUAUGUUUGACAAUAUUUUUCCGCGUAUGUUGCAAAUGAUAUAAAUUCUUCAGGCGUCACAUCCUUCUUGCCCUUGUUUCUUCUUCUGGCAGCAGCAGUGGCGGGAGUAGCAGCACCACACCGAUGACAACGCCCAGCCUUCCACCUCACAGCAGCAAACAGAUGCACUCAAUGCAUCUGAGCCAAUGUCACUGACAGAUGCACUCAAUGCAUUAGGUGACAUCGAUUUCACCUGCAAGUUCAAAAUCCAGAAAUUUAAUUUAAGCACAAGUGAGGGAAGGAAAAGACCAACUUAGAUGCUAAGUACUGAAACAUCAUUACAGCACUCAAAAAGAGAAAUAUGUAAUAAGAACCACUUUACUAACCGCGUUCAAGAG
Molecule: long non-coding RNA, 19985 nt
Filed under: Malus domestica (apple)
Lineage: Eukaryota; Viridiplantae; Streptophyta; Magnoliopsida; Rosales; Rosaceae
Description: long non-coding RNA (MDOM_LNC002341)
Source: RNAcentral